GAUGAACGCUGGCGGCGUGCCUAAUACAUGCAAGUCGAGCGAACGGACGAGAAGCUUGCUUCUCUGAUGUUAGCGGCGGACGGGUGAGUAACACAUGGAUAACCUACCUAUAAGACUGGGAUAACUUCGGGAAACCGGAGCUAAUACCGGAUAAUAUUUUGAACCGCAUGGUUCAAAAGUGAAAGACGGUCUUGCUGUCACUUAUAGAUGGAUCCGCGCUGCAUUAGCUAGUUGGUAAGGUAACGGCUUACCAAGGCAACGAUGCAUAGCCGACCUGAGAGGGUGAUCGGCCACACUGGAACUGAGACACGGUCCAGACUCCUACGGGAGGCAGCAGUAGGGAAUCUUCCGCAAUGGGCGAAAGCCUGACGGAGCAACGCCGCGUGAGUGAUGAAGGUCUUCGGAUCGUAAAACUCUGUUAUUAGGGAAGAACAUAUGUGUAAGUAACUGUGCACAUCUUGACGGUACCUAAUCAGAAAGCCACGGCUAACUACGUGCCAGCAGCCGCGGUAAUACGUAGGUGGCAAGUGUUAUCCGGAAUUAUUGGGCGUAAAGCGCGCGUAGGCGGUUUUUUAAGUCUGAUGUGAAAGCCCACGGCUCAACCGUGGAGGGUCAUUGGAAACUGGAAAACUUGAGUGCAGAAGAGGAAAGUGGAAUUCCAUGUGUAGCGGUGAAAUGCGCAGAGAUAUGGAGGAACACCAGUGGCGAAGGCGACUUUCUGGUCUGUAACUGACGCUGAUGUGCGAAAGCGUGGGGAUCAAACAGGAUUAGAUACCCUGGUAGUCCACGCCGUAAACGAUGAGUGCUAAGUGUUAGGGGGUUUCCGCCCCUUAGUGCUGCAGCUAACGCAUUAAGCACUCCGCCUGGGGAGUACGACCGCAAGGUUGAAACUCAAAGGAAUUGACGGGGACCCGCACAAGCGGUGGAGCAUGUGGUUUAAUUCGAAGCAACGCGAAGAACCUUACCAAAUCUUGACAUCCUUUGACAACUCUAGAGAUAGAGCCUUCCCCUUCGGGGGACAAAGUGACAGGUGGUGCAUGGUUGUCGUCAGCUCGUGUCGUGAGAUGUUGGGUUAAGUCCCGCAACGAGCGCAACCCUUAAGCUUAGUUGCCAUCAUUAAGUUGGGCACUCUAAGUUGACUGCCGGUGACAAACCGGAGGAAGGUGGGGAUGACGUCAAAUCAUCAUGCCCCUUAUGAUUUGGGCUACACACGUGCUACAAUGGACAAUACAAAGGGCAGCGAAACCGCGAGGUCAAGCAAAUCCCAUAAAGUUGUUCUCAGUUCGGAUUGUAGUCUGCAACUCGACUACAUGAAGCUGGAAUCGCUAGUAAUCGUAGAUCAGCAUGCUACGGUGAAUACGUUCCCGGGUCU
RNAcentral lists this ribosomal RNA (1372 nucleotides) under uncultured bacterium. RNAcentral describes it as "bacterial SSU rRNA". It matches the Rfam family "Bacterial small subunit ribosomal RNA", at positions 28 to 1381 of the family's 1533-position model. The record is from RNAcentral.